UAAGUAGUGUUUCCUUGUUA
This 20-nucleotide non-coding RNA is filed under the name Arabidopsis thaliana (thale cress). The record is from RNAcentral. Lineage: Eukaryota; Viridiplantae; Streptophyta; Magnoliopsida; Brassicales; Brassicaceae.